GUGUGAGUGUUACGUUUUGGGAAGCCUGGUAAACAUCUGGAUGGAGAUGUUAAAUAGGACACUGAGUAUAGAAGAUCUGAGCUGGGCAAGAGCCCUUGGAAGAUGAGUCCACCUAGGAAGCAGAAGUAGCUUGAGAAAAAAUAUAACUUCAUGCCCAUGGAGUCCACAAAAAUUAAGGUGAGGAGAGCAAAGGAGAAGAAAUGACCAAGGAUACAGGAGAAGGAGUGAGAGACAGCCGCCUUCUGGAAGCCAGUGAAGGAGACGUGUGAAGGAGAACAUGAGCUGUGUCGAAGACAGCCUAUGGGCUGAGUAAGACAAUAAAACCUUGACCACUGGGUUGGUAAACACCUGUGAAAGCCUUCAGCUGUCUCAGUUCAGCAGAGGGACAAGAAGUUGAUUGGAGUUGGUUCAAGAGAGGAGAAAAGUAAAGGAUGUGGAGACGCAGUGACGGGAAAGUGCAUCCCUUCAGAGAGCUGACAAUGACUCAUUGUUCAAAGUGGAACACCUGUCAAGCUCUGGUCUUGCUGCACCUUCAUUGAUCUGAAGUCAGAAGAAGCAUGGAGGGAGACUGUCACAACAGAAUUCAUCCCAACCAUCAGGGAGAAAUGUAUUGGCAAUGGGAAAAUUAUCAUGGGAAACAAAACAGAAUGGGAAAAUUAUCAUGGGAAACAAAACAGGAAGAGUUGAUCAGCAUAAUCGCAGCGUGAUAAGAAACUUACCCCCAUGGUUGGGUGAAUUAAUCUGGAAGAUUAAAAUUAAAACAACCCUAAGUGGACUCCGUCUCAAGCAACAGCAUCAGCUUUUAUCAAUGUUUCUUGAGUAUGUCCUUGGGUAAAGUGGCGAUCAAAUCUUAAUCUUGGCAUAGUGGUUGUUUCUUAUGUUAUUCAUAUAAAUUUAUGGCAUCAGUGGUUUUUAUUUGCCAGUGGGAGAAAAUGU
Long non-coding RNA from Bos taurus (domestic cattle), 936 nucleotides. The record is from Ensembl. Lineage: Eukaryota; Metazoa; Chordata; Mammalia; Artiodactyla; Bovidae.